GUCUAUGGCCAUGCCACCCGGAACAUGCUCAAUCUCAUCUGAUCUCAGAAGCUAAGCAGGGUCGGGCCUGGUUAGUACUUGAAUGGGGGACCACCUAAGAAUAAAAAAAAAUAUAUAUA
This 119-nucleotide ribosomal RNA is filed under the name Pteropus alecto (black flying fox). Lineage: Eukaryota; Metazoa; Chordata; Mammalia; Chiroptera; Pteropodidae. The record is from RNAcentral.